Non-coding RNA from Schistosoma margrebowiei, 45 nucleotides. NCBI's taxonomy places the organism in Eukaryota, Metazoa, Platyhelminthes, Trematoda, Strigeidida, Schistosomatidae. The record is from Rfam.
ACCCAGCUGAUGAGUCUCAGAUAAGACGAAACGCGUGUCUUGGUU